GGGGUUAAACAUGUAAGAGGGAUCCCAACCCUCCCCCUUAUGUGGCAUGAGUGCCAAUGAGAACUCCCCACAAAAGACCAGAUGACACAAACACUAACAACUAUAGGUCAUAUACAGCUUUCAACAAUGAGCAAAGUCAAUACCGCAUAUAGUCAGCAAUAAAAGGCACUGAAAUGACAUUGUAAAACAAUAUUCAAACGAG
RNAcentral lists this long non-coding RNA (202 nucleotides) under Mytilus galloprovincialis (Mediterranean mussel). Lineage: Eukaryota; Metazoa; Mollusca; Bivalvia; Mytilida; Mytilidae. The record is from RNAcentral.